AUCGACUCCCCUGUCCAUUACUGUGGGCCAUUUUAAGGAUGUUAAGGAAAGGGCGCACAGCCUUUCCCUAAAAUCUGGCAGGACUUGGUCCAGGAUCCGCCACCUUGGCUAAAGACCCUCCUGCCAGCAUCGAGGAAGAAGACACAAGUCCUAGUUACCAAAGAGAGGAGAGGGAGCGAAUCCAGGGAGAGUCACGAAAGUUAG
Long non-coding RNA from Lemur catta (Ring-tailed lemur), 204 nucleotides. RefSeq lists it as uncharacterized. NCBI's taxonomy places the organism in Eukaryota, Metazoa, Chordata, Mammalia, Primates, Lemuridae. The transcript has 3 exons. The record is from RefSeq and is a predicted model, not a curated record.